This 497-nucleotide ribosomal RNA is filed under the name uncultured bacterium. RNAcentral describes it as "partial 16S ribosomal RNA". It matches the Rfam family "Bacterial small subunit ribosomal RNA", at positions 28 to 507 of the family's 1533-position model. The record is from RNAcentral.
GAUGAACGCUGGCGGCGUGCCUAAUACAUGCGAGUCGAGCGAACAGACGAGGAGCUUGCUCCUCUGACGUUAGCGGCGGACGGGUGAGUAACACGUGGAUAACCUACCUAUAAGACUGGGAUAACUUCGGGAAACCGGAGCUAAUACCGGAUAAUAUAUUGAACCGCAUGGUUCAAUAGUGAAAGACGGUUUUGCUGUCACUUAUAGAUGGAUCCGCGCCGCAUUAGCUAGUUGGUAAGGUAACGGCUUACCAAGGCGACGAUGCGUAGCCGACCUGAGAGGGUGAUCGGCCACACUGGAACUGAGACACGGUCCAGACUCCUACGGGAGGCAGCAGUAGGGAAUCUUCCGCAAUGGGCGAAAGCCUGACCGAGCAACGCCGCGUGAGUGAUGAAGGUCUUCGAAUCGUAAAACUCUGUUAUUAGGGAAGAACAAAUGUGUAAGUAACUAUGCACGUCUUGACGGUACCUAAUCAGAAAGCCACGGCUAACUACGUG